CUUUUCUUGUUACACCUAAUUUCCUUUUAUCAUGGAAACAUGUUGUAACUAACUUAAUCCACUCACCCACUUUCUCCUAUUUUCCUAUGUUAUAGUUCCUACUUUAUUUUCUAAGAAUCUCACUCCACUCCCUCACUUGCCAAAAGUCCAUUAUAAUUUCAGUAACAAAAGAAGAAUAAAAAAUAGAAAAGAAUCUUAGCCUCUCCCUACCUUUAUCACGAUUUGUCCUUUUGAAGUUUGAACUCUUCUUCUCUUACAAGCACUUCAUCAGACGGUAGAGUUUUCGCGCUAGGAAGAUAAGCACAUAAGGUAAGGGUUCUUCGGACACAAAUUUGUGCUAAGCCAUUGGGUUAGAUGUUGUAGGAUGAUUGUAAGAUCUAUUUGUCGUUUUUAAAAAGAAAAAUAAUCAUCUAAUGUCAUUUUGAAUUUUUAAUCUCAUAGUUUUAUACUAUAGAGUGGCGCCUAUGUUAUUAGUAGAAAAGGAACGAUUUCUAUAGUAUAAUAUGAUUCUUGAAACUUUUUAUUUGAUUCCGGUAUUGAAUCCAUGCUAUUCAUAUGAUGAGGAAUAUAUUAGAUGAGUGAGAAAUAUGUUUUGAUAUGUGUGAUGUAAGAAUCGUGAUUGCAAGCAUGUUGGCAUAAAUUGUAUACGUAUAAUCUUCUAUAGAAAUGUUGCCUUUAUGGUUUUAUGA
Non-coding RNA from Cicer arietinum (chickpea), 689 nucleotides. The record is from RefSeq and is a predicted model, not a curated record. NCBI's taxonomy places the organism in Eukaryota, Viridiplantae, Streptophyta, Magnoliopsida, Fabales, Fabaceae.